CUUCAAGAGAACUCAAAACUGAAGACCAAAGGAGAGGGCUUAGGUUUAUGUGGAAGUGGGGCCGUAGUCAACUACAUUACCACACAACAAAGACUUUGGCUUGACGUUUAAGUUUUCAGUCAUGUUGGAAAGUAACGUUGACUCUUUUAUAAACGACGCAUUCCACAGUUUUAACUCAUUUUUAGUUGUGUCUGGAGGUCAUGUCUCUAAAAAAAAGUCUAUAAAUAGACCUCAAGUUCACCAGAUGCCUGACGAGUGGAUGCCCUGACUCAUGCACUAAGCUACAGUGUCUGUUAAAUCCAUAAUGCGGAUAUCACAGUCGCUGAGCGGGCUCUGGAGCAGCACAGAGUAUAUCUCCCUUUUUUGAACCUGAUUGCUGCAUUACUUAUACGCAGAGUGGAAGACCGCAGGCUGCCACGUCUUUCCACCAUUAUGGUGAUACUGACGACAGUGACAGAGAGCCUGCACCCAAGAAGGCCCCAACACCAUCAAUACGGCCGUCUUCAGGACCGUCAUUACCAUCACGAUCAACCAACUCCGUGGCCAUCCUACUUCGCCCAACCUCCAUUACCACCACCUCCAGGGCCAUCCUCAUUUUCUCCACUUCCACCACGCUCCCCUUCAAGGCCCCCCUCAGUUUCUACACCUCAUCAGCAGUUAUUCCAACCUCCUUACACCUGUUCAUCUCAGGACAACUACAUCGAUCCAUCUCCGUGCCAUCCACCUCCCGGGAUGUCCUCUGAUGGCUUAGCUAGUUAGAGAUAGAGCCACCGUAUUUAUGCCCAGCCUGAAUAUGGGGCGUUCUGGGAAGGACCCAAUAAUCUGCACACCUGCUGAGCUCCACAUGCUGACACUAAUGGAGAACACGAAGCAACAGCUAAACCAGCUUUCAAUAAAUAUGAUCACGGCCGGAGCAGCAGCCGCUGAGCCUGUUGUGAGGAGAUCUCCUUCCCCCUGGACUCCUCGAGGGGGGGGGGAUGCUGGCCUCCAUUGGGGGAAGAGAUACCAAACACAUUGUCUUUAACAUUUUGGCCGACAGUGUAGCCAAAUCAAUAAAUUGGAAAGGGAUGAACAAUAAAAAGAAAUUCAGUGAGAUAGGAACCAAAACCAUCAUGGCUCGAGCAGUGAGGAAGAAUCGGCUUUCGAACAAAGCCACAGACACCGAAAUGAAUCAAAUAGCCAUCAGAUGGUUUAAUCUGGCUUGCGCCCGUGGGGGGGCUCGCCGUGCCCGGUCACAACCAACUGAGAUGCAGUGAUCACAUCAGGUUUUGUUCUUUAUAUUUUUACUGUUACUGUUUAUGACAUUUUAUACCUCCACACACACACACACUUUUUUUUCUGCAUGCACACACACACGUACACGCUGUUCAUGCUGUAAGUGCUCUUUUGCCUUAUUUAAAUAAAAAACUAUUUUGAAA
Molecule: long non-coding RNA, 1418 nt
Organism: Gasterosteus aculeatus aculeatus (three-spined stickleback)
Lineage: Eukaryota; Metazoa; Chordata; Actinopteri; Perciformes; Gasterosteidae
Source: Ensembl